Molecule: ribosomal RNA, 474 nt
Filed under: Nematoda sp. 3 JHM-2017
Lineage: Eukaryota; Metazoa; Nematoda
Description: SSU rRNA
Rfam family: Eukaryotic small subunit ribosomal RNA
Source: RNAcentral
UGACUCUGAAUAACGCAGCAUAUNGGCGGCUUGUCCGCCGAUAAUCCGAAAAAGUGUCUGCCCUAUCAACCUGAUGGUAGUCUAUUAGUCUACCAUGGUUAUUACGGGUAACGGAGAAUAAGGGUUCGACUCCGGAGAGGGAGCCUUAGAAACGGCUACCACAUCCAAGGAAGGCAGCAGGCGCGAAACUUAUCCAAUCUUGAAGAGAUGAGAUAGUGACUAAAAAUAAAAAGACCAUUCCUAUGGAACGGUCAUUUCAAUGAGUUGAUCAUAAACCUUUUUUCGAGGAUCAAGUGGAGGGCAAGUCUGGUGCCAGCAGCCGCGGUAAUUCCAGCUCCACUAGUGUAAAUCGUCAUUGCUGCGGUUAAAAAGCUCGUAGUUGGAUCUGAGUCACAUGCAGUGGUUCGCCUUUGGCGUUAAUCGCUGUUGUGACUAUUUGCUGGUUUUCUACUGGGGUUUCGGCUCCUUUAGUGG